RNAcentral lists this ribosomal RNA (875 nucleotides) under uncultured archaeon. RNAcentral's name for it is "bacterial SSU rRNA". It matches the Rfam family "Archaeal small subunit ribosomal RNA", at positions 21 to 903 of the family's 1478-position model. The record is from RNAcentral.
CCUGACUGCUAUCGGAUUGAUACUAAGCCAUGCGAGUCUUUGCAGUAAUGCAAGGCAUACGGCUCAGUAACACGUAGUCAACUUACCCUAUGGAUGAGGAUAAUCUCGGGAAACUGAGCAUAAUACUCGAUAGAUCAUAAUGCCUGGAAUGGUUUAUGGUUAAAAUGAUUCGUCGCCAUAGGAUGGGACUGCGGCCUAUCAGCUUGUUGGUGAGGUAAUGGCCCACCAAGGCGAUUACAGGUACGGGCUCUGAGAGGAGAAGCCCGGAGAUGGGUACUGAGACAAGGACCCAGGCCCUAUGGGGCGCAGCAGGCGAGAAAACUUUGCAAUGUGCGAAAGCACGACAAGGUUAAUCCGAGUGAUUUCUGCUAAAGAAAUCUUUUGCAAGUCAUAAAACCACUAGUGAAUAAGGGGUGGGCAAGUUCUGGUGUCAGCCGCCGCGGUAAAACCAGCACCUCAAGUGGUCAGGAGGAUUAUUGGGCCUAAAGCAUCCGUAGCCGGCUCUGUAAGUUUUCGGUUAAAUCCAUACGCUCAACGUAUAGGCUGCCGUAAAUACUGUAGAACUAGGGAGUGGGAGAGGUAGACGGUACUCGAUAGGAAGGGGUAAAAUCCUUUGAUCUAUUGAUGACCACCUGUGGCGAAGGCGGUCUACCAGAACACGUUCGACGGUGAGGGAUGAAAGCUGGGGGAGCAAACCGGAUUAGAUACCCGGGUAGUCCCAGCUGUAAACGAUGCAGACUCGGUGAUGCCCUGGCUUGCGGCCAGUGCAGUGCCGCAGGGAAGCCGUUAAGUUUGCCGCCUGGGAAGUACGUACGCAAGUAUGAAACUUAAAGGAAUUGGCGGGGGAGCACCACAAGGGGUGAAGCCUGCGGUUC